AAAGGAAUAGACGGGGGCCCGCACAAGCGGAGGAACAUGUGGUUUAAUUCGAUGAUACGCGAGGAACCUUACCCGGGCUUGAAAUGGAGAGGAAUAUAGUGGAAACAUUAUAGCCAGCAAUGGUCUCUUUGUAGGUGCUGCAUGGUUGUCGUCAGCUCGUGCCGUGAGGUGUCGGCUUAAGUGCCAUAACGAGCGCAACCCUUGUUGUCAGUUACUAACAGGUUAUGCUGAGGACUCUGGCGAGACUGCCACCGUAAGGUGUGAGGAAGGUGGGGAUGACGUCAAAUCAGCACGGCCCUUACGUCCGGGGCGACACACGUGUUACAAUGGGAGGUACAGAGGGCUGCUACGCCGCGAGGCGAUGCUAAUCUCCAAAACCUCUCUCAGUUCGGAUCGGAGUCUGCAACUCGACUCCGUGAAGCUGGAUUCGCUAGUAAUCGCGCAUCAGCCAUGGCGCGGUGAAUACGUUCCCGGGCCUUGUACACACCGCCCGU
RNAcentral lists this ribosomal RNA (494 nucleotides) under uncultured bacterium. RNAcentral's name for it is "bacterial SSU rRNA". It matches the Rfam family "Bacterial small subunit ribosomal RNA", at positions 903 to 1397 of the family's 1533-position model. The record is from RNAcentral.